RNAcentral lists this transfer RNA (72 nucleotides) under Camelus bactrianus (Bactrian camel). It matches the Rfam family "tRNA". Rfam says of the family: Transfer RNA (tRNA) molecules are approximately 80 nucleotides in length. Their secondary structure includes four short double-helical elements and three loops (D, anti-codon, and T loops). Further hydrogen bonds mediate the characteristic L-shaped molecular structure. tRNAs have two regions of fundamental functional importance: the anti-codon, which is responsible for specific mRNA codon recognition, and the 3' end, to which the tRNAs corresponding amino acid is attached (by aminoacyl-tRNA synthetases). tRNAs cope with the degeneracy of the genetic code in two manners: having more than one tRNA (with a specific anti-codon) for a particular amino acid; and 'wobble' base-pairing, i.e. permitting non-standard base-pairing at the 3rd anti-codon position. RNAcentral also lists the same sequence under 2 other names. Lineage: Eukaryota; Metazoa; Chordata; Mammalia; Artiodactyla; Camelidae. The record is from Rfam by way of RNAcentral.
GACGGUAUAGCUCAGUGGUGGAGCGCGUGGUUACCAUCUACCACAUCCUGAGCUCAAUCCCCAGUACCUCCA